UUCUGAUUUACUUUCAAGCUUCUUGCAGCUACUAUUACACCCUGUAGACAUUUGUCCGUACGGAUUUAUUCUUUUUUUUCUCAAUUUGUCCAUGAAAACCGUCGAAUUUUCAGAAUCGUUGGGUAAGCUUGGGAAAAUUCAGAGGAAAGUUACUCUCAAAAAGAGAAGAGUAGAAAUGCAUUUCACUCAGAAAAUGCAAUUUGAGGUCGACAACAAGGUGCAGGCAUGUGGAGCAGCGAGGGAGCGAUAGCUCAAUGCAAGGCAGUAGGACGACUAAGGACGAUGCAGGGGAGCUCAAACCGGACUUGUC
This is a long non-coding RNA of Cryptomeria japonica (Japanese cedar), 310 nucleotides long. RefSeq lists it as uncharacterized. NCBI's taxonomy places the organism in Eukaryota, Viridiplantae, Streptophyta, Pinopsida, Cupressales, Cupressaceae. The record is from RefSeq and is a predicted model, not a curated record. The transcript has 3 exons.